This 75-nucleotide transfer RNA is filed under the name Bacilli bacterium. RNAcentral describes it as "tRNA-Val". It matches the Rfam family "tRNA". Rfam says of the family: Transfer RNA (tRNA) molecules are approximately 80 nucleotides in length. Their secondary structure includes four short double-helical elements and three loops (D, anti-codon, and T loops). Further hydrogen bonds mediate the characteristic L-shaped molecular structure. tRNAs have two regions of fundamental functional importance: the anti-codon, which is responsible for specific mRNA codon recognition, and the 3' end, to which the tRNAs corresponding amino acid is attached (by aminoacyl-tRNA synthetases). tRNAs cope with the degeneracy of the genetic code in two manners: having more than one tRNA (with a specific anti-codon) for a particular amino acid; and 'wobble' base-pairing, i.e. permitting non-standard base-pairing at the 3rd anti-codon position. Lineage: Bacteria; Bacillati; Bacillota; Bacilli. The record is from RNAcentral.
GGAUAUAUAGCUCAGUGGUAGAGCGUUUUUUUCACAUAAAAAAGGCCAUUGGUUCGAUUCCAGUUAUAUCCACCA